CAGGUACAGAAAAUAAACAGAGCAUCCAGGACGGGGAUGUAGGCCUGUAGUUCUGUGCAAUUCAAUGACCACACCCCUAUGUUCUAAUGGGAACCAUUGGAGAGGUAAUCCAGAAGUCUCUUGGAGCCCAAGAUAGACGGGUACCAACCUCUUAGUGAAAGUGCCUCUGAAUCGUUGCCAGGUGUUUGGGAGGGCCUAGGAUUUAUGUGCCAGAAACUUGGUCCCAAGGUGGUGUGGUAUUGGGAUGGUGAUAUGGGUGAUGUUUUGAGAGAGAGGAAGUUGCAAGACUGGAAACAUCGCCUGCCACAGAGAUUAAUGUCAUUCUUGUAGGACUUUAAUUAGUUCCUGCAAGUUGUCAUUUAAAAAUGGUACUUCCUGUGUCUCCUGUCCUCUCUCAGUGAGGAAGAAGGAAGGGUACCUGGGGUGAAGGGAAGAGCAUAUUGGCACAGGCGAGGAUGCCACAGACUGUACGGUUAACGAACACAGCUUCAAGUCCUUCAUAACUCUGCCAUUCCCGAGACACAACAUCCCCUCAAAAUCUAUUGAUGAAGAGCCAUCAGCCAUCUGUCAGCCCAUUAAAUGUGUGUCCAGUCCUCCACCUAAUAAAACACUGCACAAACAUC
This 623-nucleotide long non-coding RNA is filed under the name Mus pahari (shrew mouse). RNAcentral describes it as "lncRNA (MGP_PahariEiJ_G0005406.1)". Lineage: Eukaryota; Metazoa; Chordata; Mammalia; Rodentia; Muridae. The record is from RNAcentral.